UUGAUUUUUGAUGAAAUGAUGACAGUUGAAAAUUGAAAAAUGGUUGGCAAUGCGGUUGUGUAGUGUGGAUUUUCUGAGUAAAUUUUAAAUGAAUAAUUAACUCUUUUUGCGAGAAUUAAACCACAUAUUACGGAACUAAACAUACUAUAAUUUUGGCAGCUGAUGAUUAAAGCACAGAGAACCAAUCAGAGAAGCCGUUGCUUGGGCUUUUGUGCAACCGGGCCUAAGUUUGGAAAAUACCAAAAUAUGGUUACGAAGAGAGCAGUUUGUUGUGAUGAGGACAUGGAAUGAAGGAGUAUGCAGCUUGGCACACUGAUUCACCCUUGUCAUGGACCACAGCUUUCAAGUAUGGCACUUGACAGGGAUGAAUCAGAUUGCUGGAGAUGGAGAGAUACAAUAUGACGACAUUUCUCAGUGCAAUGCAUCGAUGCUGAUAUGAGCUGGACAUCCUGAUGGGACUUGAGUCAUAGACCAGAGCCUUCAAGUGACAGCUGGUGAGUGUUGUAACAUACCUCUCUAUCUUCACAUUGAAUUCUGUUGAGAUCUAUUGAGCUUUGAAUAUUAUUUCUUGUAGGCCUAUAAUUGGUCUUAUUUAUUAUAAAACUGGAUCUCAUCUGAUGCGCUUGUGCUCGUUUUAGUUGAAUGUAAUGUGGAGCCAAGUGAUGUUGAUGAAACACCACCGAGAAGCAUGUGAGUUGAGCAGUAGCUUCAUUCUAUGAAGUACUGAAAAUCUUACAUGUAUCAUGCCGCUUCCACACUCUUGUCAAGUGCGUAAAAAUGACGACGAGCGCGAGAGUGUGGAUGGCUGCUAUGCCACCGCUCGCCGUCAAUCCCACCAUAUAUAUGUAUACAGCGAGCCGCUUGACAAGCGACUUGACGAGAGUGUGGUGCCGGCAUGACGAAUGCAAUGCUACAGAAUUGAUGGCUCCUUUUGAGUUGUUGUGGAG
This is a long non-coding RNA of Nilaparvata lugens (brown planthopper), 947 nucleotides long. RefSeq lists it as uncharacterized. The record is from RefSeq and is a predicted model, not a curated record. NCBI's taxonomy places the organism in Eukaryota, Metazoa, Arthropoda, Insecta, Hemiptera, Delphacidae. The transcript has 4 exons.